UAUGUAUUUGUGCAUCAUGCCAUGCAUAUGUGGUAGUGAAUAUCGUGUGUUGAUUCUUGUUUCCGGAUUGCUUCAUCUCGAUAGAGUUCUGCGAGAAUGUCAGAAUGUGAGGAUUCAUUCUUCUAUGUUGGUUUGUGUGCUUCACGGGUUCGUUCUUCUUCCAACCGGGAUCUCACGCAAGAUGACCAUUUCCCUAGAUACCAUUAUUACCAUUGCCAUGCUAGUUGUUUCGUUUCUUCGCUAUGUCUUGCUGUCUACCACCUGUUUAAUAGGCCUCCCAACAUUGCCAUGAAAAGCCUCUAACCUUUCCACAACCCAACAAACCACUGUUUAGCUAUGUUACCGCUUGCUCAGCCUUUUGAUAGUGUUGCUAGUUGCAGGUGCAGUUGCUUUCAUGUGAAAACACGGGUUCCUUGUUGUAUCACCACAUUAUUUCUAAUUAAUUUAAUGCACCUAUAUACUUGGUAAAAGGUGGAAGGCCUGGCCUUCUAGCCUGGUGUUUAGUUUCAUCUUUGCCGCCUUAGUUUCGGCUAUCAGUGUUACGUUCUAUAAAUGAGUGUUCCUAACAUUCUUGGGGUUGUUAUGGGGACCCCCUUGACUUAGUUCAUGUUCGCUUAUGCAUGGCUCACCCCCCUUUUAUUCUUGUACUCGUAAGUUAGCCAGCUCAAACAAAUGCUUAGUCGCUUGCUGCAGCCUCACCACUUAACCAUACCUCACCCAUUAAGCUUUGCUACACUUGAUACGUUUGGCUUAGUCCGUGUGGCUCACAGAUUAUUACAAUAACAGUUGCAGGUAUAGUUAAGGCAAUACUUUGACGUGAGCACGAUGAUUGUGCUAUUUAGUGUUUCUUCUUCUUCUUCUUCUUCUUCUUCAUCGAUCUAGGAUGGUUCCAGGCCGGCAGCCUGGGAUAGCAAGGAUGUACAUCGUUCUUUUAUCAUUUGUUUUCGUCCGUAGUCGGACCCUUCUCUUCUACAUGAUGACUGUAUGAUGUUGUACUUAUGUGAUAUUGAUGUAGCUUGUGACGAGUGUAAGCCAAUUUCAUAUACUCAUCUCUUCAGUACAUGUACUUGUAACGAUAUCCAUUCUUGCAAAACGAUGAGAUGCGGUUCUAUCCCUGUCGAGGGCCUCGUGCCAAAAUAAGGAUAGGAUCGUGAUACGUCUCAAACGUAUAUAUAAUUUUUGAUGGU
This 1187-nucleotide long non-coding RNA is filed under the name Hordeum vulgare. Its description in RNAcentral is "long non-coding RNA (HVUL_LNC009000)". Lineage: Eukaryota; Viridiplantae; Streptophyta; Magnoliopsida; Poales; Poaceae. The record is from RNAcentral.